RNAcentral lists this unclassified non-coding RNA (301 nucleotides) under fungal sp. Its description in RNAcentral is "partial internal transcribed spacer region". The stretch from base 1 to 46 matches the Rfam family "Eukaryotic small subunit ribosomal RNA", at positions 1786 to 1831 of the family's 1831-position model. The record is from RNAcentral. Lineage: Eukaryota; Fungi.
AAGUCGUAACAAGGUAACCGUAGGUGAACCUGCGGUUGGAUCAUUAACAAUUAUUAUUGAGCUCUUCCCCCUUUCACCGGGGGCGGUAGGUUCUCUAACACUUGUGUGCACUGUUUAUUGUCUCUCGGCGUUUUUUGAGGGGUUGGGGUAUCGGAGUUUUUUGCUCUGGUGCGGCUUUCACGGCCUUUGACCUACCUCCCUUGGGCGCCAAUUUUAAACUUGAUUUUAUAUAUACUAUAAGCCUUUAAUUUUAAAUUUAUAAUUUGAAAACAACUUUUAACAACGGAUCUCUAGGCUCUCA